This 89-nucleotide unclassified non-coding RNA is filed under the name Leptomonas sp. Nfm. Its description in RNAcentral is "spliced leader RNA". The record is from RNAcentral. Lineage: Eukaryota; Euglenozoa; Kinetoplastea; Trypanosomatida; Trypanosomatidae.
AACUAACGCUAUUAUUGUUACAGUUUCUGUACUUUAUUGGUAUGAGAAGCUUCCAGUUUAACUGGGAAAUUUUGGAACUUGCCUUCGGG